Molecule: ribosomal RNA, 465 nt
Filed under: uncultured bacterium
Lineage: Bacteria
Description: partial 16S ribosomal RNA
Rfam family: Bacterial small subunit ribosomal RNA
Source: RNAcentral
AUGAACGCUGGCGGCGUGCUUAGCACCUGCCAGUCGCACGAUGAAGCCCAGCUUGCUGGGUGGAUUAGUGGCGAACGGGUGAGUAACACGUGAGUAACCUGCCCUUGACUCUGGGAUAAGCCUGGGAAACUGGGUCUAAUACUGGAUAUGACUUCUCAUCGCAUGGUGGGGGGUGGAAAGAUUUAUUGGUCUUGGAUGGACUCGCGGCCUAUCAGCUUGUUGGUGAGGUAAUGGCUCACCAAGGCGACGACGGGUAGCCGGCCUGAGAGGGUGACCGGCCACACUGGGACUGAGACACGGCCCAGACUCCUACGGGAGGCAGCAGUGGGGAAUAUUGCACAAUGGGCGCAAGCCUGAUGCAGCGACGCCGCGUGAGGGAUGACGGCCUUCGGGUUGUAAACCUCUUUCAGUAGGGAAGAAGCGAGAGUGACGGUACCUGCAGAAGAAGCGCCGGCUAACUACGUG